UCGUGUAUGAUUGUUUGCUUCACCCGUGCAAUAUUUCUGAUUUUAUUUAAAAAAACGAAAUUUCUUAAAGCAUAUAUCUAUAGUUAAAAUUUCUUAAUUAAGUUUUUAUUAAUACUAAUACUAGUUUUUGUGAAAACAGAAAAGGGGUAUCAUAAAAGUGACCCUCGCCCGAUUUACUUUAAUGAAAAAAAUAGAUUCGCGCUUAUUUAAUAUCUUCAUGAGACAAACUAUUAAAUUUAUAAACUGUAUUUAAGUGUGAUAAAAUUGCGCGCAAAUGCAAAACGUCCUCGGGAAAAUAUCGAUGUGCGGUUCGGACCCGGAGUUGUGUGUUCGGUGGGACUAUGUUAUUCCUCAGUGCCUUAGCAAUCGGAGUGAUAACAAGCCUUCAGAAUGGUACGGUGGAGCUAACGGCGACGGACAGUGACAUAGCAUCAACGACGACAGAUAUGGGCUUGAUAGAGACCUCGAGGGUACCUGAUAGCGGCGAUUUUGUAAACGUGACCAUUCAAGAACGGCCCUCGAUGUGGGACUUGUAUUUGAACCACUGCCCGCGUUGGAGGCCUAUAAACCAUAUAUUUUUCCAAGUAUCAAAUGUGUUCUUCUUGCUCUCAUUUUUGGCACCCCACACUCCUAGUGGCCUCAUUUGGCUACGUGUUGCCCUUAUCCUAGGCUGCACCUUCUCGGGCCUGUGGGCUUGGAGUAUAGAGUGCUAUUUGGAUGCUGUGCUGUGGAAUAGUGCUUUCAUCAUUAUUAAUUUUGUGUACUUUGCUGUUCAGUUUUAUUUGAUGAGGCCUAUCAAGUUUCACAAGGAGAUUGAAGAGGUAUACGUAGCCCUCUUCAAGCCACUUAGGGUGUCGCGGAGGCAGUUUCGACGUGUUCUGAUGUGCAUGCGCAAUGUCAGGCAUCUCAAGUGUCAUGAGCUAUACGCCCAUGAGAAAGUCACGAAGGUGGACAGUCUGUCACUCGUGCUGAGUGGAAAGUUGGUAGUGUCACAGAAUCAACGCGCACUGCAUAUAGUGUUUCCGCAUCACUUCCUAGACUCACCGGAGUGGUUCGGGGUUUCCACUGACGAGUUCUUUCAGGUCUCAAUAAUGGCGAUGGAGGAAUCACGUGUGUUGGUGUGGCACCGGGACAAGUUAAAACUGUCGAUAAUGUCCGACGCGUUUCUGCAGGCUGUGUUUGACCACAUCCUUGGUAGAGACGUCGUUCACAAGCUCAUGCAGGUGAGCGAAACAAUGGCUGUCAGUAACGGCCACCUGCCGAACAGUUAUGAGGAGGGCGAGGAUAAGCCAAUGCUCAUAGUCAAGAAGGCUGGCGAUGGGCCCGGAAUAACCGCAUUGCUUAAUCGACAAUUACAAGGCGAGCACGCGCCAUUGCUCCGAGCGCCGCCUGUGCCCGAGUGCUGAACUACGACUAAAUCCAUAUUCCCUUUCCCUAUGACUAAUUGUUUCAACUUUGAACUCUAGUAUCGAAGCAUAAGGUUAUUUUUCCUAUGACCGAUCAAAAGAAGACCUUAUAUAAAAGUUGAAACAAUUUUUAUAUUGUCAAAAUUUAUCCGUCCCUUUAUAAUUAACGAAUCUAUUUUAUACGAUGUAUUAUAUUGCUCAAUUGGUAUUAAUUUUUAUUAUGGAAACCGCUUCAUUUUAAUAUCGGUAUUUUUAAAAGAAUUCUCUAUGUCAAAUACGGAAUCGGUUUCAAAAAUAUAUACAUAUUUAAUAUGUUCUUAUUUGCAUUAUACCAUCACUCCUAUGUCCUUAUCACAAUUUAUCAAUUUAAUGUGAUUUAUAUGUGUACCUGUUAUAUGCACAUUAACCCGGAGUUCCAAAAAAGAUUUGGGAAUGGAACAUGUAUGGCACCAUUAGUCCACAUUUAUAUGCCACUAUUUUUGAUACUUUUUGCCUAAAAUCAGAGACAAAUUUAAAAGCAAAUUUACUCUCUUAUCGGAUUUUGAAAUGUAAGAGAGUGAGUUUGAACGCUGUCUCGUUAGAUUUAAUGUUAUAUUUAACCAUGACAUAUUCACUAGUAUUAUAAAGUACAAUCAAUAGAUAUUACCAGUAUUAACGCACAAUUAUUUAGUGACUUAAGUAUUAUUAAGUAUAUGUACGAUUUUAUAUUAGACUGAUUAAUCUACUUGAAAAUACAGUUGAUUCGAUAGAUGGCGCUGUAGCUGGUUAUAUUUUCUGACAAAAACUUACCAUUUUCUAAAAACCGAUUCUUACACAAUUAAAGCUAGAAUUACGGCUUUGGCUAAGAAACUUAUUGGCUGAAAAGUUAUUCCUUAAAACAUAUACUUACUUCGCUGAAUGAUUCUUAGACAAACCAACUUUCACUGCAAAUAAAAACAUAAAUAUUUUGAUAUUAAGAACAAUUGUACGAAAAAAAUUGUAAAUGGCAUUUCUCCUUCAAACCUGUGUUGAUUAAUCAGUCUUAAAUUGCAUGUUCAUAUCAGAGUCCCUGUGCCUGUCUUAUAUUUUUGUGUGAUUUAAGUUCAUAUAAGUAGUCUUAAUUCGCACAUGUAUAUGUAUUUAUAAGUAUUUUGGGUCGAGAUAAUCACGCUUGGCUGUCAUACAACAUCCUUAGUUCCCGCACUUUGACUUUGACAUUUGACAGCGACAGAUCGACCUAGUGUUACCAGAUUUCAACUUGCUUUUCAUAUGACUCAAGCAUGGUGUAUCUUGACCUACCACCAUAUAUAAUGUUACCUUAUUCAGUAUCUAGUAUCCUAGUUCCCAUACCGUUAUUCCUAAGCAUGUUGAAGAAUCAAGUGAAUCAGCAACAGAUCCGAACGCAUGGCGUCUUGGCAGAAUCGAAGAGACAGACCACGAAACACCAGUCUGAGGUCACGCUUUGCACCUGGCGGUUAGACCGCGCAGGCGCGACCAUCGCUAGGGCAUUUAAGACUUUAUGUUUAUUAACAUAAGGACGAAUUAAUAUGUCCUGAAUAUAGGUGAACCUGCAGCGCUACAAGUUUGUUUUGGCAACUCUAUUUUUAAAGAGUGAAGGUUUAUUUUAGCGAGUCAAAGCCAAUUGUCAAAAUGAUCCGAAUUUUCUGAGUUGUCAACGCGGUACGUGUCAGCUGUCAAUAAGGAUCUUAAAACACGUAAUAUCUGUUUUUAUUGCAUUUAGUGGUUUGUUUUUAAUUUGACCGUCUAUAUAUGAUACCAAUAUUAUGACUCCACAGCAACUUAGAAAAUUCGGUGAUUUUUAAAUUCAUUGCUUUAAGUACACGAUUUUCGGCUUUGUUUUGCGGUUAGCUUCAGAGUAUGUUUUCGUUUAAAAGAAUUGUAACACUAUUCUUAUUUCUCUGUAUUUAACCUUUUGGAGUAAUUAGGAUUCAAUCUAUUUCUAUCUGUGAUCGUUGGUAAUCAUAUAUUUUUGAGUUGUUUAUGGUACCGGCAUUGUUUUAACAUCUGAACAACAAAUAAACAAGGAUUCCAUUUCACAUCAAUAAUACCAGCAGUUCCAAAAAAAAAAUGGUUUUUUUGUUUCGCAUUUUUGGUAAAGAUUAUAUACAGAGAAAUAGUAGUCUUCGCGUUUGAUAAAAAAAGUAGCUUUAAACGUUGAGCAAAUGAUCAGUAUUGGCUAGAUGUGCUUGAAUUUGUGAUUGGAACGGAUCUCUGUAGGUGUAUUGUAUUAAAUUAAGACGGUAUCGCGAAGUUUUUUAAAGCAACCCGGAUACAGCGCAUUAAAGCAAGUAUUGCUGCCUCUUUUUACACGAUACAGUGCGAAAGAGGCCAAUAUAACGAUAUAUAUUUUGUAUGGAAUUAUUGUUUAUACCCAAUACUAUCACGUGAAUUGGUUAAUCUGUCUCUUUCGUAUUGUGCGAUGUGAUAGAGAUAGCAAUAAUUUAGAUUUUGGUGGCUUUUUGAACUUCUAAAUCUUAUUUAAAUGUAGAAACAAUAAAUGUGGUUUAAAACGCGCUUAAUCUAUCCUGAUUUAUCCUUUUUUUUUACAAAGUAUCACACAAAAUAAAAUAGAUUUUACUGGAUUGAAACACGUUUAAGAAUAUUAAAACUAUUUACCGUUAACACAGACAAACAAUGACUAAAGUUUAUUUUAUUUUUGUCAUACAAAUACGUCAGAAAUUUUAAAGGCGUAAAUCAUUUUUGUUUUUCAUUCUUCAUUUGUUUCACUCGACUAUUAUCUAAAACUGAACAAUUAUAUUAAGCUCCUUUUAAACCCACACUUUUUACUUUUAUUUAACAAACAAUAUUUUGUCAAACAAUUUUGACGCGUUUUAAAAAUCCAAAUAUUUAUUUUGACUAGAGACAUUUAUUUUUCGACUUCGCGAUCCAAAAUCGCAAUAUAUAUUUGUAAUGUCAUAAACAAAUAUUAUUUUGUGUAAACUUUUAUAAGUGACUGAACUGAUGUCGGAUGAUUGUAAAUAACUAUGUACAAAAGUAGGUUUUUGGAUGUGCUAGAGAAAUAGAAAAAAAUAUAUUUUAUUGACCAGAACUCAGUUGAAGCCAUAAAUACUAAAGCAAAUAGGCACAGCAACCGGCAAGUAAAAGCCAGAUGAAACAAUCAACUCUCAUUCCACAACAUUGUUUAUGAAACAGAACUCGAGCCCCUUACAACAUUAUCUAUAAUCUAUUGUUAAGAAGCAUUAUUCUUUUUAAAAAAUAUCAUUUUAAAACUCUAUUGUAAUGUCAAACUUCAUGGAGUUUUUUGUUUGACAGGUUAAUUUUAAUUUACGUUAUGUUGUAAGUUAUGAUUCUACCCAUACUGAGACAUCUUUAAUCUUGUUUCAAGAGUUGUUGUAUUGUUGAAUAUGGGCCUACGAGCAUCUAGAUAUAACUGGUAUCUUGGACAUUUUGAAUUAUAAUUAACGCACAAAAUUCGUAUGUCAUAAAAUGUUGCGGGGAUAAAUGUGUUUAUAUAUAUCGGAUGUAUAGAGAAGAUGUUUGGAAAAAGACAAUUUUUAUGUUUGGUUCUAAACUUUCUUUUAAAUUAUAACAUUGAAUCGCACAUCCAGAAGGGAUGAUAGAAAAUAAUUGACACUCCUGAUUAUUUGUAUUAGCUUUAAACCAUUGUAAUUUAUACAGACAAGUACAAUUAUUCCCAUUACAUAAUAUUCGUAAUGAUAUUUACUAGUUGUAUGCAACGCAAAAUUUUGUUAAAAUGACUAUGUAAUUAUAAUGAUAUCAUACGCACUGCCAUUGCAAAUGUUUGUAGCUAAUUGAUUCAUAUGAAUAUGUUGGAUCUCGAUGUGUGAAUAACAAUUACCAUUUAACUAAUUGGUUACUUAUCAAGUGUUCAAGAAUUGAAAUUAAAAAAAAGAGGUGAUAACAACAUGAAGGUCAGACACUUGUAACAAUAGGCUCUUGCUUUUAUAAUUACAAUAUAUUUAUUAAACUAUCUGUUUAAAUAAAUAUUUUGUAUGAAAUUAUAUCUGAACAUCCAUAGAUCCAUAUCUUGGAAAUUUUCAGCUCUUGAAUUAUUGAACAAUAAAAUGCCGGCUAAUUAAAAGUAACAAGCUAAAGGUUUAUAAAUUGAAAGUAUACUAAAUAGAAUGAAUAAAGAUUAAAAAUUCAAUAAAAUAUGUAACCUUGGUGAUUGUUCACUUCUAAAAUGCCUUAAAAAGUUGCCAUGUGUGAUAAUGUAAAUUAUGUGUGGUUGGUCAUUUGAAUCAUUGUAGCAUAAUAUGUUAAUAAGAUAGAAAAUUAAAUUACCUUAUGAAUUGUGUAAA
Molecule: RNA transcript, 5689 nt
Organism: Pieris napi
Lineage: Eukaryota; Metazoa; Arthropoda; Insecta; Lepidoptera; Pieridae
Gene name: blood vessel epicardial substance-like
Exons: 7
Source: RefSeq, a predicted model, not a curated record